This 240-nucleotide ribosomal RNA is filed under the name uncultured prokaryote. Its description in RNAcentral is "partial 16S ribosomal RNA". The record is from RNAcentral.
CUUCUGCCGUUUUGGAUUUAACCGAAGAUGAUUUCGAUUUUCUGACGAGUAACAAAGUUUGGAUUGCUACUGACCGCUCUCGUGCUCGUCGCUGCGUUGAGGCUUGCGUUUAUGGUACGCUGGACUUUGUAGGAUACCCUCGCUUUCCUGCUCCUGUUGAGUUUAUUGCUGCCGUCAUUGCUUAUUAUGUUCAUCCCGUCAACAUUCAAACGGCCUGUCUCAUCAUGGAAGGCGCUGAAU